This is a non-coding RNA of Stegodyphus mimosarum, 73 nucleotides long. The record is from Rfam. Lineage: Eukaryota; Metazoa; Arthropoda; Arachnida; Araneae; Eresidae.
GCCUUCGUGGUGUAGUGGUCAGCACGCUCUACUCGUAUUCGAGAGGUCCGUGGUUCGAGCCCCGGCUAGGGCA